RNAcentral lists this unclassified non-coding RNA (278 nucleotides) under Hevea brasiliensis (rubber tree). The record is from RNAcentral. Lineage: Eukaryota; Viridiplantae; Streptophyta; Magnoliopsida; Malpighiales; Euphorbiaceae.
GAGGAGGCGCUGCCGCUCGACGCCUGGGUCCCCGGCGACGACAUCAUCCCGGUGUGCAAGGCCGUUCUCGAGGCGUACCGCGACCUCGGCACCAGGGGCAACCGCCAGAAGACCCGCAUGAUGUGGCUCAUCGACGAACUUGGAAUGGAGGCUUUUCGGUCGGAGGUGGAGAAGAGGAUGCCGAACGGCGUGCUGGAGCGCGCGGCGCCGGAGGACCUCAUCGACAAGAAAUGGCAGAGGAGGGACUACCUCGGCGUGCACCCGCAGAAGCAGGAAGG